GGAUGUCAAUUCCUGUCUUGCUCACUUUCAAAAAGUCAUUAACCAGGUCCAGGUGAUAUAUACUUUUGACAACACAUUAGCUGCUGUUGUUGCUCAAUGACCAAAGCAUCUUCCAUAGUCACUCCACUUCCCAAUUAUCACUCUUUUCCUGCAGCAUGCUGUUACAACUCUUGACAAAAAAGAUUCCAUUCUUCUCCACUGUCCAUCUUAGGGAAUCUCUCUUACUGUCAUCCAAAGUAUAAGAUUCCAAUGAAUUUAUUAACUGACUGGUUCUCCAUUAAUUUCCUGGUUGUUGAAAUGUCUUCUAAAAUUCAGCUGCCAUCUGUUUCCUACAAAACAAUCAAUAAUCAAACAUUUUUUUGUUAAUUGUUUAACUGUACAAAAUAGAGAACUGCACUUGUAUGGUUCUUAGAGAACAACUAUUUGAGAAGGUAUAGAUAUAGUGGUGACAUUCUUUUGAGAUUCUUUUGCAUUUCCUUUUGCACAUAGUUUUCUAGUAGCGUGGCAUGUUCAGCUUACAAGUUUAUCGUGUACUUUGCAUUAUAUAUGGAAUCGUAAAAGUUUUUCUUUCUAUCUCAUAUAAAUUUGAUUGGACAUGGAGUCUAAGUUGUUUAUUUGACAUGCAUAUUAUUUUAUUAAUGAUAUUGAAAAAAAGGUUAAGCAGUCACUUGUUUAUCAUAGAUUUCUUCUGCACGUUUUUCCUGAUCACUUGCAAUCUCUGUUUCCUCUGUUCCUCUGUUAUUUGAGCCUCUAAAUUUACAGCCUUAGCAUUGCCAUAACUUAGUGCCCCAUGGUCACUGCUUUCAACGCAUCAUUAGAAUCUGUAUGCAUAGCUGGUUCACAUCCAGUUUUGUCAUCAUGAACCAAAGCAACUUCAUUAGAAUCUGUAUGCAUAGCUGGUUCACAUCCAGUUUUGUCAUCAUGAACCAAAGCAACUUCACCUUCCAGUUCUUGUACCUCCUUUUGCACAGUAGUACCUUUCAAAUCUGCUGGUUUCUCAACUUCAGCAGUGGCCUUAGUAAUCACAACAUCAAUUUUCACACCAGUUGCAUUCAAUGCAACAUUAGUCUCCAAUGAUGAACCUACAAAAUUUGAAUUUUUACUUUGUCCUAUAACUGCUGCAGGAUAUUUGGCAUUGGUAGCUCGAUCAAAUUGUGCACAUUCCUGCUGUACCUCUUUGCCAAUAACAUAAAUUUAAUUUUUCUUAAUGAGAUCAGCUUCCUUAGCAUGUGCAUCAGUAAUCUUGGAGCCUAUACCAGAUGACAAUAUGGCUGCAGCCCUAACCACCUUAUCAUAAGCCUGUACAACUGGAUUCACGACAUUGAACUCUCCUUCAAUUUGUGAAAGCUGCUGAUCACCCACAGCAGCAUUCCUGACCAGUACACUAUUUUUUCUCCGAUCCUCCUUACCAUUGGCCUCUACAGUAGUUUGAUUUGUUACUGCAUUAUUCUCUAGUGGUGCCUUGUCAUGUACACUAGAUACCACAGUUUUCCCCGUAUCUACAGUCAUGAAACAAGCUCUUUGUGCACCAGCAAAAGGCUGACCAGCUAUAGGUUCUUGAGCUUGUGUAUCAUCUUUAGCCACUGCCUCAACAUCUGUAGCAAUUGUACCAUCCAAAUUUUUCACACCAGUUGCAUCCUCAUCAGCAGUAACAACCUUUGCCAAAGCAUCUAGAUCCUUCACCAACACAGUAUUUUGCAUCUCCUUCUCAUUACCAGAUACCUUAACCUGUUGUUAAGCCAUAUCAAACUUUUUUUGCAAUAACAUCUUGAUCAGUAGGAGCCCUCAAUGCACCAGCAGUAUGUGAAUGCAUCCUUGAAAAAAUUAUAGCAGUAGAGAUAUCCUUCAACCUCUCAUUAUCUCCAGAUUUAUCCACACCUACACUCAGUUUUUUGCCCAGCGUCAACUGGAACUGGAGUAGCAGUACACUCACCACCCUUAAAAGUCCCAGCUAUCUCUUGCAUCAUCCUUUGAAACACUAGCAGGAACUUCACUUGCGCGAUUCACCACCUUAUCAUUGUUCACAUUAACCAUUUGUUUUCCUCCUUGCAAUACCUACUCAUGUAUAGAAGUUUGUUUCACCAGUCAGUUGUACAACUGCAUCAAUUCGAUUAGCAACAUUCUUUGAGCCCGGAUUACUUGACAGAAUUUGUGCAACCUUAGUCAAUUUGUCAUAAGCUUCGACAAUUGGAUUGACAACAUUAGAGUUCCUUGCAGGCACAUCUCGAGAAGACGGAUAUGGACCUUUGUCGACCUUUGAAACAUCACCAACAUGAUUACCCACAGCAAUUCUAUUUUCACUGUUUUGCAUAACAACUUGCUUUCCACCUUCAAUUUGCAUGAUCUGUUGUCCAGCCAGAUUUUCUUUUUCUGUUUGAACUUCCUGAUGCCCAGCUCUUUUUGCAUUGAGAAAUUCCCUAGACAUGUUUAGCUUUAAAAUUCAUUACUUGCUAAUCACUUCUGUUUCAUUUUUUAUCAUAGUGUGUGAUGGUAUUUCAGGUCCUUUAACACAAUUAUUUUAUAAUUUUAGGUUAUACUAUCUAAUGUUCCAUAAUUUAGCGGCGGGAAGAUUUCAAAAAGAUGAAAAAAUGCAAAAAUCAUUUUUUUAUCAUAGUGUGUGAUGGUAUUUCAGGUCCUUUAACACAAUUAUUUUAUAAUUUCAGGUCAUAUAAUCUAACAUUCGAUAAUUUAGCAACGGAAGAUUUCAAAAUGAUGAAAAACUGCGAAAAUCAUUUGAAGACCAUCAAACACUCCUAAACCUGUCCUCGAGGGUGCCUUGAAGCUGCUGAUUAGCCAUGAGAGUAUCU
Molecule: long non-coding RNA, 2807 nt
Filed under: Nicotiana benthamiana
Lineage: Eukaryota; Viridiplantae; Streptophyta; Magnoliopsida; Solanales; Solanaceae
Description: long non-coding RNA (NBEN_LNC038584)
Source: RNAcentral